This 200-nucleotide long non-coding RNA is filed under the name Manihot esculenta (cassava). RNAcentral's name for it is "long non-coding RNA (MESC_LNC007168)". Lineage: Eukaryota; Viridiplantae; Streptophyta; Magnoliopsida; Malpighiales; Euphorbiaceae. The record is from RNAcentral.
UCGCACCAUAUGCAGAUAACUAAUCCAUCCCUAGAAUGACAUCAAAAUCUGUCAAGUCUAGAACCACAAGGUCAGCUAGAAGGCAUCUACCCUCUAUGAACACUGGACUGAAACGACAGACGGACGCUGCCACUGAUGGGUCACACUUGGGUCCACUGACCCAAAGAGGAUACUCUAACUCAGAAAUCAUCAAACCCAAC